GAGUUUGAUCGUGGCUCAGAAUGAACGCUGGCGGCGUGGUUAAGACAUGCAAGUCGAACGGACCCUUCGGGGUUAGUGGCGGACGGGUGAGUAACACGUGGGAACGUGCCCUUUGGUUCGGAACAACUCAGGGAAACUUGAGCUAAUACCGGAUAAGCCCUACGGGGGAAGAUUUAUCGCCAUUGGAGCGGCCCGCGUCUGAUUAGCUAGUUGGUGAGGUAAAGGCUCACCAAGGCUACGAUCAGUAGCUGGUCUGAGAGGAUGAUCAGCCACAUUGGGACUGAGACACGGCCCAAACUCCUACGGGAGGCAGCAGUGGGGAAUCUUGCGCAAUGGGCGAAAGCCUGACGCAGCCAUGCCGCGUGAAUGAUGAAGGUCUUAGGAUUGUAAAAUUCUUUCACCGGGGACGAUAAUGACGGUACCGAGAAGAAGCUCCGGCUAACUUCGUGCCAGCAGCCGCCGCAGUAAG
This 469-nucleotide ribosomal RNA is filed under the name uncultured Alphaproteobacteria bacterium. RNAcentral's name for it is "bacterial SSU rRNA". It matches the Rfam family "Bacterial small subunit ribosomal RNA", at positions 9 to 527 of the family's 1533-position model. Lineage: Bacteria; Pseudomonadati; Pseudomonadota; Alphaproteobacteria. The record is from RNAcentral.